Molecule: ribosomal RNA, 379 nt
Filed under: uncultured bacterium
Lineage: Bacteria
Description: bacterial SSU rRNA
Rfam family: Bacterial small subunit ribosomal RNA
Source: RNAcentral
UAAUACGUAGGGAGCAAGCGUUGUCCGGAUUUAUUGGGCGUAAAGCGCGCGUAGGCGGUUUGGUAAGUCGGGUGUGAAACCUCCAAGCUUAACUUGGAGCCGCCAUCCGAAACUGCCAUGACUUGAGUCUGGUAGGGGAACACGGAAUACCUGGUGUAGCGGUGAAAUGCUUAGAUAUCAGGUGGAACACCAGUGGCGAAGGCGGUGUUCUGGGCCAGUACUGACGCUGAUGCGCGAAAGCGUGGGGAGCGAACAGGAUUAGAUACCCUGGUAGUCCACGCUGUAAACGUUGCACACUAGGUGUGGGGACCUAUCGACGGUUUCCGUGCCGUAGCUAACGCAUUAAGUGUGCCGCCUGGGGAGUACGGUCGCAAGACUA